Long non-coding RNA from Camelus dromedarius (Arabian camel), 2720 nucleotides. RefSeq lists it as uncharacterized. Lineage: Eukaryota; Metazoa; Chordata; Mammalia; Artiodactyla; Camelidae. The record is from RefSeq and is a predicted model, not a curated record. The transcript has 3 exons.
CAAGACUUGGGGAGGACGUAGUCAGGUUUUAACAGCCCAAUCUAUCCAACUCUGAAAACUUGAAGAAGUUGGAGAAGCAGAGAUAGGAGCUGGUGUUAGAUUAGGAUUUGGGGAGAGAGCUGUCAAGUCUAGACGAGCAUGCUCCCCAUGGGAGAGGGGCUCUGUCGUCUCACUGAAAGCCGGGGCAAAGGGGCUUUGGUGACUUCUUGGAAAGCUGGAUGUGUGUCCCUGGAACAUGAAGGACUCGAUAGGUUGGGGUUUGAUUCAGCCUGGAAAAUCUAAAGGGCCAGAGCCCCUUACUGGCUAGCUGUGCUGAGUGUCGAGGGAGGAGAGGAGGUGCUGAAGGUGGCCUGCUCUCCCCAAGGUGUUGUGGCAAAGGAUGUGGGCAAGUUUCCUGUGAACCAGAACUGGCUGAGGAGGUGUGCCGCCAGAUGCUGGGGGAGUGAAGAAAUAGUGCAGGAAGAAUCAGAAGAGACACAACUGCCCGUCAAGCAAACUGCGGGUGCCCGCCAGGAACAGGGAGCGGCUGGCUGCAAAGAGCCCAGGAAGGAACGUUCAAGAAGAUGAAUCCACUGGGAGACCCGGGGGCUAGAACACCACCAGUCCAUUGCAAGAUGGCUGCUGCAGCUCCAGACAUCACUCCUCACAGAACUUCAUUCAAUGGAAGAAAUGAAAAGGAAGACGUGUUCUCUGCAUCACUCCUUUGUUGUCAUGGAGACUGGCACUGCUCCUAGAGAAGAUGGUCUCUGCCAGCUCAAGACUGAAGUGAUUUUUAAAGCCAAUUGUCUCCAAGAAAAGAGAAUUUGCCUUCCUGAGAAUUCUAACAAAAUUCCCAGGGAAGACUUUGAUUGGCCUGGCUGGAUCACAUGACCAUUCAUGAGCAAAAACAAACAAGGCAAACAGUGGCCAGAAGAUGAAUCCCCUUCUACAUAGGACCCCACCCCACACAUGAACAAAGGAAGAGAAACCUUGCAAAGAAAGAGUAGUAGGAGAAUUAGGAGUAAAUUCAGAGUCAAAUGACGUCACAGACACCAAGGAAAGAGAACUUUAACAUUGAGCGGGCAACUCUUUCAAAUGCAACUAUAGUAUAUUUUAUUAAAAUAAGGAACUGCAAUGUCUUCAUUGGAUUGGUAAAAUGUUGGACACUGGUAACAAUGUUUUGGUAGGGUUAUGGUGAUGGGAGUGGGGGUGGAAUGAGAGUAGUUAUAAUGGGUUUAAAGAGUGCAUAGAAAGAAAGAAACAAACAAAAUUGUAAAUGACCCAAGAAAUUUGGCAGAAAGUAGUAGAAAUAGAGAAGUUAUAAAGAAAGACAUAAGAUCAAGGUAAGAUAUUUAGGCUAUAAAAGACUUGAGUUAGUAGAUGAGAUGGGAAUCUGAAGAUAAAGAAAGAAAAAUUAUUUUAAAAAGGAAAGUUGAACUAAGUGAAAUAAUCAUUAGCAGCAUCAAGUCAAGAUGUAUGGCAGCUGAAAAUUCCUGAGUAUCUAAAUCCUCCUUCACCUUCAUGAUGACUGAAGAAAUAGAAGUCCUGCCAGCAUCUGCUACAUUCAUUCAUUCAUUUGUUCAUUCAGCAAGUGUUUAUGGAACUUGGCCAGGAACCCAUCCAGCUGCUAGUGAACCAGCAGUGAACAAAACUGACAAAACCCCUGCUCUCAUGGGUAUUAAAUGCCUCGGAUACGUGAGUCCUGGCUCUCCCACCUCUCUGGAGAUCUGAGCUGUGCAUUCGACUCCCAGCUCUUUCUGAGCUCACAGACAGGUGUACCUAGACACUGGGUACCAUCUCCGACAGCUGGAAGUUUGGUUCCCUGAAUUACUCCAAACUUCACAGCUUGCAAGCUGCUUACCCAUUACCUGAGCAGACAGAGAAUAUAAUCAUUUCUAUCUCAUCAUCUUUUUCUCUUCCUUAUAGAACCUAGAGAGGGUUGGGGUAAAACAAAAUUUCCCCUACCCUAAGCUACUGGUAGAAUUCCCAAAAUAAGACGAACUUCUCUAGAUGAUUCACCUAAAAAACACUCCACACUUCUCCUGUGCCCCUGACAAAAACAAGCAAGGGAAGCUAUUAUUCUGGGCUACAGGUGGAGAUCAGAGACAGGCAUUCAACCUGACGGAAGCAGAGAGCAAGACUUGAGUAUGUGGACUCUGGAAUAAGACCACUUGGGUUCCAAUUGUAGUGUCCCCACUUACCAGCUUUGACACCUUGAGCAAGUUAACCUGCCUGAGGAGCAGUUCCAUAAUUACCAUUAUCAUCAUCAUCAUACACCUACAUCAAGGAGCUGUGCAAAUGAGAUACAGUCAUUGAAAUGACCACGUGGACUGAGAGCUGGGGCCAAAAUGAGAAGAGAAUAAAGGCUGUAGAAGAAAAUAUCCAACGGUCACUAGAUGACCCUGUGAAAUAGUGUUUACAUAAUGGUUCGCCCUCCUUUAGACCCACUCAGCCUGGACAUGGUGAGACAGGAAGGAUAAAAUUUCUCUGUCCACUUCAGAAAUUGAGGGUUGGUAUAAUUCAUUCUUAAUUCUUCAUGUCUGGGGCCAAUGGGCUUAUGUCAUAUGUUUAAAGAAAAUCUAUCUUCCUCUUAAAAACAUAAACUCAGUGCAACUAUGAGGUCAAAAUUUCGGCUAAAGACUGGGUUCCUUUAAAAUGUCCAUAAAGUGUCUUACUAUUUAUGACAGGACAGCUGUUGCCUCUUUUUCCAAGAAGGAAUUAAAGGAUCUUAUUACCCUAAA